Molecule: ribosomal RNA, 497 nt
Filed under: uncultured bacterium
Lineage: Bacteria
Description: partial 16S ribosomal RNA
Rfam family: Bacterial small subunit ribosomal RNA
Source: RNAcentral
GAUGAAAGAGGGGGGGGUGCAUAAUACAUGCAAGUCGAGCGAACGGACGAGAAGCUUGCUUCUCUGAUGUUAGCGGCGGACGGGUGAGUAACACGUGGAUAACCUACCUAUAAGACUGGGAUAACUUCGGGAAACCGUAGCUAAUACCGGAUAAUAUUUUGAACCGCAUGGUUCAAAAGUGAAAGACGGUCUUGCUGUCACUUAUAGAUGGAUCCGCGCUGCAUUAGCUAGUUGGUAAGGUAACGGCUUACCAAGGCAACGAUGCAUAGCCGACCUGAGAGGGUGAUCGGCCACACUGGAACUGAGACACGGUCCAGACUCCUACGGGAGGCAGCAGUAGGGAAUCUUCCGCAAUGGGCGAAAGCCUGACGGAGCAACGCCGCGUGAGUGAUGAAGGUCUUCGGAUCGUAAAACUCUGUUAUUAGGGAAGAACAUAUGUGUAAGUAACUGUGCACAUCUUGACGGUACCUAAUCAGAAAGCCACGGCUAACUACGUG